RNAcentral lists this unclassified non-coding RNA (391 nucleotides) under soil metagenome. Its description in RNAcentral is "partial contains 5.8S ribosomal RNA, internal transcribed spacer 2, and large subunit ribosomal RNA". The stretch from base 1 to 122 matches the Rfam family "5.8S ribosomal RNA", at positions 35 to 154 of the family's 154-position model. The record is from RNAcentral.
GAUGAAGAACGCAGCGAAAUGCGAUACUUGGUGUGAAUUGCAGAAUCCCGUGAACCAUCGAGUCUUUGAACGCAAGUUGCGCCCGAAGCCACUAGGCCGAGGGCACGCCUGCCUGGGCGUCACACGUCGUUGCCCCCCACCAUCUACUCCUUCGGGAUUGCGGGGGGCGGAUGAUGGCCUCCCGUGCGCCUAGCCGCGCGGUUGGCAUAAAUACCAAGUCCUCGGCGACGCACGCCACGACAAUCGGUGGUUGCGAAACCUCGGUUGCCCGUCGUGUGCGUUCGUCGCGCAUCGAGGGCUCGAAAAAAUGCUCGGCUCCGGCUCGGCUUUCAACGCGACCCCAGGUCAGGCGGGGUUACCCGCUGAAUUUAAGCAUAUCAAUAACGGAGGA